AGUAGACGUUCAGAGUUUGAUCCUGGCUCAGGAUGAACGCUGGCGGCGUGCCUAAUACAUGCAAGUCGAGCGAACAGAUAAGGAGCUUGCUCCUUUGACGUUAGCGGCGGACGGGUGAGUAACACGUGGAUAACCUACCUAUAAGACUGGGAUAACUUCGGGAAACCGGAGCUAAUACCGGAUAACAUAUUGAACCGCAUGGUUCAAUAGUGAAAGGCGGCUUUGCUGUCACUUAUAGAUGGAUCCGCGCCGUAUUAGCUAGUUGGUAAGGUAACGGCUUACCAAGGCAACGAUACGUAGCCGACCUGAGAGGGUGAUCGGCCACACUGGAACUGAGACACGGUCCAG
RNAcentral lists this ribosomal RNA (348 nucleotides) under uncultured bacterium. RNAcentral's name for it is "bacterial SSU rRNA". It matches the Rfam family "Bacterial small subunit ribosomal RNA", at positions 1 to 334 of the family's 1533-position model. The record is from RNAcentral.